This is a long non-coding RNA of Mauremys reevesii (Reeves's turtle), 1003 nucleotides long. RefSeq lists it as uncharacterized. The record is from RefSeq and is a predicted model, not a curated record. Lineage: Eukaryota; Metazoa; Chordata; Testudines; Geoemydidae. The transcript is spliced from 3 exons.
AGACAGUUUGCAAGGGGGAAAGACAGAGUUAAAAGGGGUCAGCUCAGAACUGAUGAGUGAUGGUCAUAGCUAGCUUAAAUCCCCCCUCCCCACCCUAGAAGGAGGGCUCUGGGAAACCAAUGUUGGAAUUGAGAGGCCAAAGUCUAACUGAUCUGCUGUAAGAGAUUUAAUCAAUGAGAUCCUCACAGGGGUGUCUCAGUUUAAAGUAUUCUGCUUGGGAGGGGGGUCUGACAAGAGCUAGCCAGGGGAGUAGAGGGCAGUGCACUAGCCAGGCCAUGCCACAAGGGGUAUCCGGAGGAGUGGUUGUCUGUCACAGGUGGCAAUGUUUCCCAUUAGCCUGGCAGCCCAUAGCCCCCCAGGCUCGAGGAGAGCAGCUGGCCCUGUUGUGGCAGCCAGUGCCUCGCUCACCCCCCUCCGCCCGCACUGAGGACCCCACGCGGUGACCAUGUGGACAUGCAGAACCUGCAGGCUGUGAACGAGAGUGGGACUCUUGUAUGAGCUGCCACCCAACCUGCGACUCUGCCGCCUUCCCCUACCUCUGAUCUGCACCUCAUCGACUUCAGGGGAGCUGCUCCAUGCGUGAGAGGAGGGCUAGUGGAGCAGGGCAGACAGAAGACCUUCUUCCCCUGCAGUAACCAGCCAGCACCCUGUCCCUUCCCAGCGUGCCUGACCCUCAAGAAAGGCUCGCACUGCAGAGCAAGGGAUUAGGAGCAGAACUGGUCCAGAGAUCCCUAGGCCCGUCUCCUGAGAGCGGCUCCCCUGGCGAUCGAUGGCUCUCUCUGCAGUGGUUGCUGAUUAGCAAACGCUCUCCCCAGAGCUGCGUGCAUUCCUGCUGACAUCAUCAAUCCUACUGGCGCGCCGGCGGAGAAGAAAACAAAAAGAGCCAGCCUGUAGGGUGCACCAAACAGAGCCGGGCAAACGAAUGGGAUUGACGUGGGAUCACGGCUUUGGGAUCAGCUCUAGGAAACAGAGCCCAUGAGUCUGGUUACCCCUCCCUCUCGUC